Molecule: transfer RNA, 75 nt
Filed under: Chthonomonas sp.
Lineage: Bacteria; Bacillati; Armatimonadota; Chthonomonadia; Chthonomonadales; Chthonomonadaceae
Also listed under: 1 other name
Description: tRNA-Thr
Rfam family: tRNA
About the family: Transfer RNA (tRNA) molecules are approximately 80 nucleotides in length. Their secondary structure includes four short double-helical elements and three loops (D, anti-codon, and T loops). Further hydrogen bonds mediate the characteristic L-shaped molecular structure. tRNAs have two regions of fundamental functional importance: the anti-codon, which is responsible for specific mRNA codon recognition, and the 3' end, to which the tRNAs corresponding amino acid is attached (by aminoacyl-tRNA synthetases). tRNAs cope with the degeneracy of the genetic code in two manners: having more than one tRNA (with a specific anti-codon) for a particular amino acid; and 'wobble' base-pairing, i.e. permitting non-standard base-pairing at the 3rd anti-codon position.
Source: RNAcentral
GCCGGCGUAGCUCAGUGGUAGAGCAGCUGUUUCGUAAACAGCAGGUCACCGGUUCGAAUCCGGUCGCCGGCUCCA